GCUUUCGUGGUGUAGCGGGUAGCACAUUCGGCGCGUAUUCCAGAGGUCCAAGUUCGAGUCCCGGCGAGGGCA
Molecule: non-coding RNA, 72 nt
Organism: Stegodyphus mimosarum
Lineage: Eukaryota; Metazoa; Arthropoda; Arachnida; Araneae; Eresidae
Source: Rfam